This 465-nucleotide ribosomal RNA is filed under the name Vreelandella stevensii. RNAcentral describes it as "partial 16S ribosomal RNA". It matches the Rfam family "Bacterial small subunit ribosomal RNA", at positions 338 to 795 of the family's 1533-position model. Lineage: Bacteria; Pseudomonadati; Pseudomonadota; Gammaproteobacteria; Oceanospirillales; Halomonadaceae. The record is from RNAcentral.
CCUACGGGUGGCUGCAGUGGGGAAUAUUGGACAAUGGGCGAAAGCCUGAUCCAGCCAUGCCGCGUGUGUGAAGAAGGCCUUCGGGUUGUAAAGCACUUUCAGUGGGGAAGAAAGCCUUGGGGCUAAUACCCUCGAGGAAGGACAUCACCCACAGAAGAAGCACCGGCUAACUCCGUGCCAGCAGCCGCGGUAAUACGGAGGGUGCGAGCGUUAAUCGGAAUUACUGGGCGUAAAGCGCGCGUAGGCGGUCUGAUAAGCCGGUUGUGAAAGCCCCGGGCUCAACCUGGGAACGGCAUCCGGAACUGUCAGGCUAGAGUGCAGGAGAGGAAGGUAGAAUUCCCGGUGUAGCGGUGACAUGCGUAGAGAUCGGGAGGAAUACCAGUGGCGAAGGCGGCCUUCUGGACUGACACUGACGCUGAGGUGCGAAAGCGUGGGUAGCAAACAGGAUUAGAUACCCGAGUAGUC